GACGAACGCUGGCGGCGUGCUUAACACAUGCAAGUCGAACGGAAAGGCCCUGCUUUUGUGGGGUGCUCGAGUGGCGAACGGGUGAGUAACACGUGAGUAACCUGCCCUUGACUUUGGGAUAACUUCAGGAAACUGGGGCUAAUACCGGAUAGGAGCUCCUGCUGCAUGGUGGGGGUUGGAAAGUUUCGGCGGUUGGGGAUGGACUCGCGGCUUAUCAGCUUGUUGGUGGGGUAGUGGCUUACCAAGGCUUUGACGGGUAGCCGGCCUGAGAGGGUGACCGGCCACAUUGGGACUGAGAUACGGCCCAGACGCCUACGGGAGGCAGCAGUGGGGAAUAUUGCACAAUGGGCGGAAGCCUGAUGCAGCAACGCCGCGUGCGGAAUGACGGCUUUCGGGUUGUAAACCGCUUUCGCCUGUGACGAAGCGUGAGUGACGGUAAUGGGUAAAGAAGCACCGGCUAACUACGUG
RNAcentral lists this ribosomal RNA (468 nucleotides) under uncultured bacterium. Its description in RNAcentral is "partial 16S ribosomal RNA". It matches the Rfam family "Bacterial small subunit ribosomal RNA", at positions 28 to 507 of the family's 1533-position model. The record is from RNAcentral.